CAUUUUUGUUGAAGACUCAAACUAGACUGGUGGAUUUUUGGGUUGCAGUAUGAUUUGCAUUGUGCCGGAUCAAGAGAGUGCAUGUUGAAACUGCGGGCAGUCGUGGCCUAAUGGUUAGAGAGUUGGACUUGUAACCCAGGUCAUGGGUUCGAGUCUCGGUACUGGAAAGGAUUGUAGUUGGGGGGAGUUAAUGUACAGCGCUCUCUUCCACUCUCAAUACCUCGACUGAGGUGAGACCCUUGAGCAAGGCACAGAAUCACCAACUGCUUCCCGGGCGCUGCAGCAAAAAAGGCUGCCCACUGUUCUGGGUUUGUGUGUGUGUUCACUUGGAUGGGUGAAAUGCAGAGCACAAAUUCCAAGUAUGGAACACCAUCCUUGGCCACAUAUCACGCCCUUUCCUUUCCUUGUUGCAUAUCAGUUUGUUGUAAUUCUACUCCCAACCUCAAGGUGGAACUAGGGAGGGUUCUAAAGGAAGUGCUAUCCUGAUAAGAGAGACAACGAGGAGUGUUUGGUAGAGGUAAUGUCAUGCUUUUGAGUGUGUACUCGGUUUUAUGCAGUAAACCCUGUUAUAAGAAACAUCUUUUGUUCUACAGCUUCAUAGCGUUUUCUUUGGGCCUCAUUCACUCAUCAAGUUUAUGGACACUUCAUCUGGACUAUAGUUAUACUUGUACAUCAUUGACCACCUCUUUCCUGGACUAUUCUUUAUGGUUUGGAACAUUUCAUGUUGGACUUCUACUGUACAAUUGUUGAAUGGUUGAACCAUUACAGAAUACUUACCUCUUGAAAUAUAUUGGAUUGAUAAAUAAUUGACUUUAAUUGUUAAGGUUGGACUGAAAUGCUUGAUCAAAUGUUUUGCUGAUAUAGUUGCUGUAUGUUUGUCUAUACACACUACUUGUUUAUUUAUAUGUUAUCUGCUCUCAAUUUAAAUACACAAGCUCUGCUCUUGGAUGUAUAUGGAUCCCCGUAUUUUUUUUUUUUUUUUUUUAUGUUAUCGGAAGAAAGCUGUAACAGUUUUUUGUGUUUCUGACUAAAUGGAAAGACAUGUAAAUAUUGAAUGUACAGUUUUGUUGGAUAUUUAUUUAUAAGACUUUGUUAGUGUUUUUGUGGUUACCUUUGUGUUGAAUAGUGGAGCUUUUGCUUAGGUUGUGGGCGGCUACAGUACAUGACAGUAGCUGUAUUAAUGUCAUUGCAUUGACAAGUCGCUUCUAUCUCCCUCAUCCCAUGUAUUUAGUAAAAUAAGUAAUAUUUAGCACGCUAACAUCAGUUUCGUCUUUCAAAUUAGGGUCAUUGAAUGAUGUGUGGUAAUUUUUUCGUUGAUUUAUUGUUUAUUGAACAUUGUUUUUGCACCUAGACUGUCCAAUUAGAUUUUACUGGAGAUUGAUUAUUAUG
Cyprinus carpio (common carp) is the source of this 1389-nucleotide long non-coding RNA. Lineage: Eukaryota; Metazoa; Chordata; Actinopteri; Cypriniformes; Cyprinidae. The record is from Ensembl.